AUUUUAGUAGUUCAUUAAUUAGAACACAGCACUGAAGAUGCUGAAGAGGGAAUUUUCCCCUAAGAUA
This 67-nucleotide transfer RNA is filed under the name Lepetodrilus nux. RNAcentral describes it as "tRNA-Phe". It matches the Rfam family "tRNA". Rfam says of the family: Transfer RNA (tRNA) molecules are approximately 80 nucleotides in length. Their secondary structure includes four short double-helical elements and three loops (D, anti-codon, and T loops). Lineage: Eukaryota; Metazoa; Mollusca; Gastropoda; Lepetellida; Lepetodrilidae. The record is from RNAcentral.